RNAcentral lists this ribosomal RNA (409 nucleotides) under uncultured bacterium. RNAcentral's name for it is "bacterial SSU rRNA". It matches the Rfam family "Bacterial small subunit ribosomal RNA", at positions 28 to 430 of the family's 1533-position model. The record is from RNAcentral.
GAUGAACGCUAGCGGCAGGCUUAAUACAUGCAAGUCGAGGGGCAGCGGGGUGUAGCAAUACACUGCCGGCGACCGGCAAACGGGUGCGGAACACGUACACAACCUUCCUUAAAGUGGGGGAUAGCCCAGAGAAAUUUGGAUUAAUACCCCGUAACAUUAUGAGAUGGCAUCAUUUUAUAAUUAAAGCUCCGGCGCUUAAAGAUGGGUGUGCGGCUGAUUAGGUAGUUGGUAGCGGUAACGGCCUACCAAGGCGACGAUAGGUAGCUGGUGUGAGAGCACGACCAGCCACACGGGCACUGAGACACGGGCCCGACUCCUACGGGAGGCAGCAGUGAGGAAUAUUGGUCAAUGGACGAGAGUCUGAACCAGCCAUGCCGCGUGAAGGAUGAAGGCGUUCUGCGUCGUAAAC